GUACGGGAGGCAGCAGUGGGGAAUCUUGCACAAUGGAGGAAACUCUGAUGCAGCGACGCCGCGUGAGCGAUGAAGCCCUUCGGGGUGUAAAGCUCUUUCGACGGGAACGAUAAUGACGGUACCCGAAGAAGAAGCUGCGGCUAACUACGUGCCAGCAGCCGCGGUAAUACGUAGGCAGCAAGCGUUGUUCGGAAUUACUGGGCGUAAAGAGUGUGUAGGCGGUGUUCUAAGUCUGUUGUGAAAUCUCCCGGCUUAACUGGGAGGGUGCGGCGGAAACUGGAAUGCUAGAGGAUGGGAGAGGUAAGCGGAAUUCCUGGUGUAGCGGUGAAAUGCGUAGAUAUCAGGAGGAACACCUGUGGUGUAGACAGCUUACUGGACCAUUUCUGACGCUGAGACACGAAAGCGUGGGUAGCAAACAGGAUUAGAUACCCUGGU
This 435-nucleotide ribosomal RNA is filed under the name uncultured bacterium. RNAcentral's name for it is "bacterial SSU rRNA". It matches the Rfam family "Bacterial small subunit ribosomal RNA", at positions 339 to 791 of the family's 1533-position model. The record is from RNAcentral.